UGUACGUACAAGCAGUGGGAGCACCUUCGGGUGUGACUGCGUACCUUUUGUAUAAUGGGUCAGCGACUUAUAUUCUGUAGCAAGGUUAACCGUAUAGGGGAGCCGCAGGGAAACCGAGUCUUAACUGGGCGUUAAGUUGCAGGGUAUAGACCCGAAACCCGGUGAUCUAGCCAUGGGCAGGUUGAAGGUUGGGUAACACUAACUGGAGGACCGAACCGACUAAUGUUGAAAAAUUAGCGGAUGACUUGUGGCUGGGGGUGAAAGGCCAAUCAAACCGGGAGAUAGCUGGUUCUCCCCGAAAGCUAUUUAGGUAGCGCCUCGUGAACUCAUCUUCGGGGGGUAGAGCACUGUUUCGGCUAGGGGGUCAUCCCGACUUACCAACCGAUGCAAACUACGAAUACCGAAGAAUGUUAUCACGGGAGACACACGGCGGGUGCUAACGUCCGUCGUGAAGAGGGAAACAACCCAGACCGCCAGCUAAGGUC
RNAcentral lists this ribosomal RNA (485 nucleotides) under Klebsiella pneumoniae. Its description in RNAcentral is "bacterial LSU rRNA". It matches the Rfam family "Bacterial large subunit ribosomal RNA", at positions 559 to 1046 of the family's 2925-position model. Lineage: Bacteria; Pseudomonadati; Pseudomonadota; Gammaproteobacteria; Enterobacterales; Enterobacteriaceae. The record is from RNAcentral.